UACGGAGGGUGCGAGCGUUGUCCGGAAUCACUGGGCGUAAAGGGCGCGUAGGCGGCCACCGCAAGUCAGUUGUGAAAUCUCUGGGCUUAACCCAGAAAGGUCAACUGAUACUGCGGGGCUAGAGUGCAGAAGGGGCAACUGGAAUUCUCGGUGUAGCGGUGAAAUGCGUAGAUAUCGAGAGGAACACCUGCGGCGAAGGCGGGUUGCUGGGCUGACACUGACGCUGAAGCGCGAAAGCUAGGGGAGCGAACGGG
Molecule: ribosomal RNA, 254 nt
Filed under: uncultured bacterium
Lineage: Bacteria
Description: partial 16S ribosomal RNA
Rfam family: Bacterial small subunit ribosomal RNA
Source: RNAcentral